AUGGAAGGGGUACGUGCUUCUGAUGCGGGUUCGGGACAUUUUAUGGACCCUGCCAUGGGCGCCCAAGUGGCACAGAGUGCGACCAACAUAGCGGGAUUUAACAGCGAUGACACCCUGUUACCACUCACUGGAUCCCGGGCGUAUUUGGACGUUUCGCCAGCAGCAGGGCACCCGUUCUACGGAGGAUCGGAAGUAGUUUAUACCAACGGGCGAUACAGAGAGCACUGCAGUCCAAGACUUGGAGGUAGAAGCCGCGAUAAUUCAGCCGAGCGAAGUCACGGAGCUGCAAACACACCUUGCGGCAUCAUGAAGGUAGACAGCACCCACACAUAGCCCAACGCCCACACUGCGUUUGACGGUAACCCUCUGAAGGAAAUCUCAAGAAAGGCAGCAAUUGCUGCCUGUGUGAUGAGUUAUUGAUAUUAUGAUAGCAAAAUCUUCUAAUGCAGUCCUCUUCUCAUUGCACAACACCUCCAGGUAACCUGAGACCUCUGAGCUCCAAACGCCACAGAGGUCUUCGAAGGACUGUUCCUCACAUCUCGCCGCCGUGUUUCAGAUCUUAGUUUAUGUCUUCAAACUGAAGACCUCCCGUUGGUAUAUCCCAUUGUUGCCAUGAGACUACACUGCCAUCUUAAUCGUAUUUCCCCCUAGCUUCUCUUUUCCCUUCUGCCUUAUGUAGCCAAGGUCAUAGUACAAAGUCGUUCUUCCUAGAAGACAUCCACCGAUAAAUAUUGGCACAUAGGGUACAUUGAAAGGAUCUUGAGAUGUAUAUGAAAAUAGUUAUUUUUAGUUUUUCCAAUUUUGGAUAACUGGAAAAAAGCAAUGUUUGAUGUAGGCAGAAAUGGGCCGUAUAAUAUGCAGGAAGGAUUGUCGACAGCUGUAUUUGACAGAUUAGGGUUUCGGUUACUUGAUAUUCUUUUAGACAUCUGAUGCAAUGUGAAUGCUCAUUGUUGCAUGAUGUUGAAUUAACUAACAGCAUAAUCCACUUUUAUUUGAAUGAAGAUAUAUUGUAUAUACAUAUAUAUAUAUUAUCAUUGCUGUGUAAUUUAGGACCCUGGUUAUAACAACCAUUUUAUAACCAUUACUAGUGGUUACUAUAGUUAAGUCAAGUAACUUCCUAAAAAAAGUAUCAUUAAUGUAAUAUUAUUAGUUUGAAUAUUAAGUUAUUGUCCCGAGCCACAGUCUGUUCUUUGCUUGAGCUUUGCUAAAAUUCUUGGAUAAAUAAUUAUCAGUAUUGAAAAAUCAAGGGAUAAAUGAAAAUACAAUGACAAUAUCUGUGUCAUUGCUUUCUCAAGUGUCGUUGCUUAUUCAUCAGCAGCGAUGGGAAUUGUUGCCCCCGCGGAGGCAUAGCUCCUCAGAAUAAGUCCCCUGUAUCUUUCACUAAUAAAUGCGUAACUGAGAACAUCCAGGAUUAUUUUGUAUAUCCCCCUAACUCUUCAAACAUUAGACUGGUGGAUUAGACUCACGCCUUGUGAUGUUCUUAUUCAUGAAGGCAUUUCUCUUGUGUUGACUGAUCGACUGAUUGUAGGUGGCAAGGCAUUGAGGCUCUCUGUUUUCAAAACAUCCUUGGCUCCUGCAUAAUGCACUACGGGCGGAACUGAGAGUGUCGAUGUUUAUACCGUAGUCACGACAAUGAAAAGUUUAAUAUUUGAGUCGUUCCUUGUCAUUGUUGCUGUUUGGUUUAUAUGGACGUCGUAAAUGUCACACUCCUCUAAAGGUCUCUGUAAUGCCUCAGAAUUCUCUGCUGUCAGCAUCAAAUGUCUGUCAUAGACGGUUAGAGAUGCAGGGUGUGUAUUAUACGAUAUGUGUGCGAUGUAAUGUGUCUGUGUGUGUGUGAUUGCAUGUGUCUGAUUGCAUGUGUGUGAUUGUGUGUACGUGUGUGGAAUUCUGUGUGCGAGCGAGCGGGUGUGUGCGUGUCUCUAGGCUGUGUCUCCAAGCGUGGGUUGGCAAAUAAGCAAUCACAAAAUCGCAUUUGCUUGCGUUACCGUGGCCUCUAGGGGGUUUGUGUGUGUCUGUCCCCCCCACCUACCCUGUGUCAUUUCCUGGGCAGGGGGAGUGUGUGUGUGUGUGUGUCUGUGUGUGUGUGUGUGUGUGUGUGUGUGCGUGUGUGUGUGUGUGCGUGUGCGUGCGUGUGUGUGUGUGUGUGGUGAUGGAGCCUGAGUUGUCUCAUUAUGUAAGGAUGGACUGUGGACAGCUGCAGGGUGGGCUCCAGCCUGGCUGAGGGGCGAGGAGGAGGGCAGACCGACUGUGAGCCAGCACAUCACGCUAUACGAAGCUGGCAGGAUUGUGUCCCUGGGAAUGUGGUGAUGACGGCAUCAGCGUCACAGAGGACAACAAUAUGUUUUCCCCUUUUCCUGUGGCUCUGACCUUUACCCCCACCUCUUGAUCUACGUUUCCUUGCAGUUUUUCGAUCUCCCGACACUCAUGCAUUUUCAAGGUCAUUGGUGUUCACAGAUCUGCUGGGAGCAAGAAAAUGCUCUGUUCAAUAUGUUUUGUUGGGCAACAAGCAACAACAUAAAUGUGGAGGACUGGUAUGAACAUUGUGCUUCAAAUAUGUUGUUUUGCAUCAUUUACUCAAUUACUUAUUAUCUUAUUUAUUAAUCGACACAUGUUAUGAAGCCUCCAUAAGAGGCAGCCGAUUAAUUUAAUUGAAUCGAUCCAACUGUGUUCCAUGUUUUACCUGAAGAGAUUUCUUCCGACCACUAAAAAGUUCUGUUGGGCUAUACUCAACCCAAUUUAUCAUCUACCAGCUACACUAAGAGGAAUAUACGUUUAGUGAAUGUGCUUUGUUGUGGGAGUUCAGAAAUCAACCAGUUAAUCAGUAAUAGGAAGUUUAUUUUUCUAGGUACAUGGAGAUAGUGCUUUGAUGUUUUCAGCUACCGGCGUCCACUUAAAUAAUCAUCUAUUUUUCUUGUUAAAAUUAGCAUCUGACAAAAAAUCUUGAAACAAAAUAGUUUUAAAAACCAAGAAUAAGUGACUGAUAAGAAAGCUGAAGGAAAAACACCUUGCUUCUUGUGUGGAUCAGGGCCCUUGUGUAGCUUUGUUGACACGCUCAUGAUCACGUUGAUUGCGGUUGUGCGUUAUGCAUCCGGCAUCAUGCUGCGACUCUUACAUUUAUCGCAGUAAAAGCAGCAGGCAGCAGUAGGCCUUGCCUGGUUGAUAAUGGGGCCUGUAAGCCAUACUGGGUGCUUAUUUAAGGAGCGUGGUGGUGGCAAUGCUGGUGGUUGCAGGAAUGGCAAACAUAGUGCAGCACACAGCACAGUAGAGGGGGGGCGUAGGGAUAGCAGCGCUUCAUAGCAAAAGCCUUUCAGGCUCUGCCAGGGCUAUCAAAUAGAAACUGCUUGGGUUUCGUACAGAAAAUACACCGGUUGUGCACAGGAAGAAAAACAUUUCAUUGGACUUGAAAAAUGCUGUCGCUUGUCGAUUUGAGGUGUUACAAUUAGUUGACGCUGUUCGGCUGAAUUUUGGCAAUUUUCUCAAAUGGAUAAUUUCAAAGCAUUUUUCUGAUGCCCUUUUGAAUGAAAAACUCUUUUGACUCAUUCAAAGGUUAUUCAAGACAUUUCUGUAAGCUUUUGUCCUCCACGAUACCUUUUGACACCUGCCCUCUAAAAAGGAAUAUACAACCUCCUCUUACCGUUUCAAAGAAUUGCA
Long non-coding RNA from Gadus morhua (Atlantic cod), 3651 nucleotides. The record is from Ensembl. NCBI's taxonomy places the organism in Eukaryota, Metazoa, Chordata, Actinopteri, Gadiformes, Gadidae.